UGGGGAAUAUUGCGCAAUGGCCUAACGGCUGACGCAGCGACGCCGCGUGUGGGAGGACGCCCCUCGGGGUGUAAACCACUGUUGCCCGGGACGAACAACUCCAUUCAUGGGGUCUGACGGUACCGGGUGAGGAAGCACCGGCUAACUCCGUGCCAGCAGCCGCGGUAAUACUGAGGGUGCGAGCGUUGUCCGGAAUCACUGGGCGUAAAGGGCGCGUAGGUGGCCCCGUAAGUGUGUGGUGAAAGCCCGGGGCUCAACCCCGGGUCGGCCAUGCAAACUGGGGGGCUGGAGCAUUGUAGAGGCAGGCGGAAUUCCGGGUGUAGCGGUGGAAUGCGUAGAGAUCCGGAAGAACACCGGUGGCGAAGGCGGCCUGCUGGGCAAUUGCUGACACUGAGGCGCGACAGCGUGGGGAGCAAACAG
This 420-nucleotide ribosomal RNA is filed under the name uncultured bacterium. RNAcentral describes it as "bacterial SSU rRNA". It matches the Rfam family "Bacterial small subunit ribosomal RNA", at positions 355 to 775 of the family's 1533-position model. The record is from RNAcentral.